UAAUGAAAAUGGUAAUUAAGACUUCAGUUCUAGAAAUUUUAACUUCUUUAAUCCUCUUGUUUACCUAGGUCUUUCAAGUAAUGAGAAAAUUGUGAAUUUUAUAUUAUCAUGGAAUUUAAUUAUGAGCUUUGUAAACCCUUGUUCAAUUGUUUGCUCUAAUGGACCAAGUUUGGUAUGUCCUAAACUCUAUUACAGUUCAUAAAUUCUGUUUAAAUUAGUUAUUGGACUUGAAGUGGAGAUCAAUGAAGAGGAUGUGAAUAAUAUUAUAUAUUGUACAGGUCAUUGAGAAGCACUGACUUUUAAAUUGUGUUCAUG
RNAcentral lists this unclassified non-coding RNA (315 nucleotides) under Hevea brasiliensis (rubber tree). The record is from RNAcentral. Lineage: Eukaryota; Viridiplantae; Streptophyta; Magnoliopsida; Malpighiales; Euphorbiaceae.